Molecule: transfer RNA, 61 nt
Filed under: Pinctada margaritifera
Lineage: Eukaryota; Metazoa; Mollusca; Bivalvia; Pterioida; Pteriidae
Description: tRNA-His
Source: RNAcentral
UUUCGUUUAGUUUAAUAAAAAUGCCCGUUUGUGGUAUGGGUGAAGGGCUUCCCAACGGCUU